ACGGUUAUAAAUCAACAUAUUGAUUUAUAAGCAUGGAAAUCCCCUGAGUUAAACAACGAAUUGCUGUGUGUAGUCUUUGCCCAUCUCCCACGAUGGGCUUUUUUUUAA
Molecule: non-coding RNA, 108 nt
Filed under: Escherichia coli
Lineage: Bacteria; Pseudomonadati; Pseudomonadota; Gammaproteobacteria; Enterobacterales; Enterobacteriaceae
Description: antisense sRNA RprA
Rfam family: RprA RNA
About the family: Translational regulation of the stationary phase sigma factor RpoS is mediated by the formation of a double-stranded RNA stem-loop structure in the upstream region of the rpoS messenger RNA, occluding the translation initiation site. Clones carrying rprA (RpoS regulator RNA A) increased the translation of RpoS.
Source: RNAcentral